CCGAUGAAGGACGUUACUAACGACGAUAUGCUUUGGGGAGCUGUAAGUAAGCUUUGAUCCAGAGAUUUCCGAAUGGGGAAACCCAGCAUGAGUUAUGUCAUGUUAUCGAUAUGUGAAUACAUAGCAUAUCAGAAGGCACACCCGGAGAACUGAAACAUCUUAGUACCCGGAGGAAGAGAAAGAAAAUUCGAUUCCCUUAGUAGCGGCGAGCGAAACGGGAAGAGCCCAAACCAACAAGCUUGCUUGUUGGGGUUGUAGGACACUCUAUACGGAGUUACAAAGGACGACAUUAGACGAAUCAUCUGGAAAGAUGAAUCAAAGAAGGUAAUAAUCCUGUAGUCGAAAAUGUUGUCUCUCUUGAGUGGAUCCUGAGUACGACGGAGCACGUGAAAUUCCGUCGGAAUCUGGGAGGACCAUCUCCUAAGGCUAAAUACUCUCUAGUGACCGAUAGUGAACCAGUACCGUGAGGGAAAGGUGAAAAGCACCCCGGAAGGGGAGUGAAAUAGAACCUGAAACCGUGUGCUUACAAGUAGUCAGAGCCCGUUAAUGGGUGAUGGCGUGCCUUUUGUAGAAUGAACCGGCGAGUUACGAUUUGAUGCAAGGUUAAGCAGUAAAUGUGGAGCCGUAGCGAAAGCGAGUCUGAAUAGGGCGUUUAGUAUUUGGUCGUAGACCCGAAACCAGGUGA
RNAcentral lists this ribosomal RNA (685 nucleotides) under Staphylococcus aureus. RNAcentral describes it as "partial 23S ribosomal RNA". It matches the Rfam family "Bacterial large subunit ribosomal RNA", at positions 46 to 728 of the family's 2925-position model. Lineage: Bacteria; Bacillati; Bacillota; Bacilli; Caryophanales; Staphylococcaceae. The record is from RNAcentral.